This 30-nucleotide non-coding RNA is filed under the name Mus musculus (house mouse). The record is from RNAcentral. Lineage: Eukaryota; Metazoa; Chordata; Mammalia; Rodentia; Muridae.
UGUGAUUUUUGUGUGUAUGAGAUUUGAAUC